This 681-nucleotide small RNA is filed under the name Pongo abelii (Sumatran orangutan). RNAcentral's name for it is "processed transcript". Lineage: Eukaryota; Metazoa; Chordata; Mammalia; Primates; Hominidae. The record is from RNAcentral.
GCCUUAUGUGGUACGGCUGCACAACUUCCACCAGCUCUCUGCACCCCAGCCCUGUUUCACCUUCAGCCAUCCCAACAGAGAUCCUAUGAUUGACAACAACCGCUAUUGCACCUUGGAGUUUCCUGUGGAGGUGAACACAGUACUACAUGGCUUUGCCGGCUACUUUGAGACUGUGCUUUAUCAGGACAUCACUCUGAGUAUCCGUCCAGAGACUCACUCUCCUGGGAUGUUCUCAUGGUUUCCCAUCCUCUUCCCUAUUAAGCAGCCCAUAACGGUGCGUGAAGGCCAAACCAUCUGUGUGCGUUUCUGGAGAUGCAGCAAUUCCAAGAAGGUGUGGUAUGAGUGGGCUGUGACAGCACCAGUCUGUUCCGCUAUUCAUAACCCCACAGGCCGCUCAUAUACCAUUGGCCUCUAGCCCUGCGUGCAAGUGUCCAGAGCCUUGGAAGCAGCUUCAGGUUCUGCUCCUGUAGUACAGAAGGGCUCAAGCCACCAAUCUAUGAAGACCUCAGGCCAGGGGUUGAGGAAUUAGUGCUGGAUUUGAAGCUACGCACUCAGCCUCAAGAACUCCCUGGAAUAUCUCUGAGAACAUGGGGUUUGAAUGGAUUUUCAGCCCUUCUCUGUUCUUGUUUUGAUGGUUUUGUGUAAGAGGAAAUACAAAUAAAGUUAUAGCCCUUUACUGCA